CCUACGGGAGGCAGCAGUGGGGAAUAUUGGACAAUGGGCGAAAGCCUGAUCCAGCAAUGCCGCGUGAGUGAUGAAGGCCUUAGGGUUGUAAAGCUCUUUUACCAGGGAUGAUAAUGACAGUACCUGGAGAAUAAGCUCCGGCUAACUCCGUGCCAGCAGCCGCGGUAAUACGGAGGGAGCUAGCGUUGUUCGGAAUUACUGGGCGUAAAGCGUACGUAGGCGGUUAUUCAAGUCAGAGGUGAAAGCCUGGAGCUCAACUCCAGAACUGCCUUUGAAACUAGAUAGCUAGAAUCUUGGAGAGGUGAGUGGAAUUCCGAGUGUAGAGGUGAAAUUCGUAGAUAUUCGGAAGAACACCAGUGGCGAAGGCGACUCACUGGACAAGUAUUGACGCUGAGGUACGAAAGCGUGGGGAGCAAACAGGAUUAGAUACCCUGGUAGUCCACGCCGUAAACGAUGAUAACUAGCUGUUCGGGCUCUACGAGCUUGAGUGGCGCAGCUAACGCAUUAAGUUAUCCGCCUGGGGAUACGGUCGCAAGAUUAAAACUCAAAAGGAAUUGACGGCUGAGACGUAGCGAGACGACGACGAGGGAGGAG
This 594-nucleotide ribosomal RNA is filed under the name uncultured bacterium. RNAcentral's name for it is "bacterial SSU rRNA". It matches the Rfam family "Bacterial small subunit ribosomal RNA", at positions 338 to 950 of the family's 1533-position model. The record is from RNAcentral.